This is a long non-coding RNA of Etheostoma spectabile (orangethroat darter), 109 nucleotides long. RefSeq lists it as uncharacterized. NCBI's taxonomy places the organism in Eukaryota, Metazoa, Chordata, Actinopteri, Perciformes, Percidae. The transcript is spliced from 3 exons. The record is from RefSeq and is a predicted model, not a curated record.
GAUCUGUGCUAAGCUAGGCUAGUUGGAGCCAGUUACCUCCAGGAUGUGUGCUGAGCUAGUCUAGCAGUGGGUUUGUCAGACAGAGUUAGGACACGCACAGAGAUGAGAA